This 76-nucleotide transfer RNA is filed under the name Pseudomonadales bacterium. Its description in RNAcentral is "tRNA-Thr". It matches the Rfam family "tRNA". From Rfam's summary of the family: Transfer RNA (tRNA) molecules are approximately 80 nucleotides in length. Their secondary structure includes four short double-helical elements and three loops (D, anti-codon, and T loops). The record is from RNAcentral. Lineage: Bacteria; Pseudomonadati; Pseudomonadota; Gammaproteobacteria; Pseudomonadales. RNAcentral also lists the same sequence under 4 other names.
GCUCGCAUAGCUCAGGCGGUAGAGCACUCCCUUGGUAAGGGAGAGGUCCCCAGUUCGACUCUGGGUGUGAGCACCA